Non-coding RNA from Cinara cedri, 789 nucleotides. NCBI's taxonomy places the organism in Eukaryota, Metazoa, Arthropoda, Insecta, Hemiptera, Aphididae. The record is from the annotation of a GenBank genome assembly.
CCAAUAAACUCAAAAACAUAAGAAACAUAAAAAAACCUAUAAUUAAGUAUAUCCAAAUAUAGAUUAAAAAGGAUGGCGAAUCGUUUGCGCCGAUAAAUGUAAUAGGCCCAUUGUGACAUCCUUUAGGUAAUAUUUAUGUUCGUAAAAAAUGUUUUACGUUGUUCAAAAAUCUACAUUUAAUUGUAGUCAAUAGUAUUCAUAAGGUCUGCUUAUCGAGUUUUUUAAUCAAGAUAAGGAUGCUUUUCUCAGACCGACAAUCACCCGCGUCCUAAACGUCACGUUCUAAAAGUCCUCCAGAAGUCGAUCGACUUCAUUCUUCAACUAGAGACUGAGUAGCCGUUGAUUCCCCCUUUGUUCUUCUUCCCUUGUCCUCGUGGUUCUGAAUAUCAAAUUUGCAAUAACGUCCCAGUUCGUCCUAGAUUGCAGCACCAGCGUGACAUAAUUGCUUGGCUGCAGAACAUCAACACCAAUUUAUAAGCUCACCGCACGUCUCCAGUUCAACCAGGCAUUGCAGUCGAAAACUGGGUACUCCACAUCGUCGGGUGUUACUACACUAGACAACCUUUAUUUGCUGAUUAAUUUUUAGCCCAAGUUGGUGUCGCGUAAAAAAUCUUGGAUGUUACAACGCUCGCCAACAGCCUUCUAGCUAACCCUAACCAACUCCAAACAUUUUUUACAUUAAUUACUAAAUUUUUUAUACCAUCGAUUGCUUCAUUUUCAUGUUAUAUUUAAGAAAUCCUUCAUUUGAUAAUGAUAAGAAUGAUUUGAAAAAAAAAAUGAAUAUGUUAG